Molecule: ribosomal RNA, 254 nt
Filed under: uncultured bacterium
Lineage: Bacteria
Description: partial 16S ribosomal RNA
Rfam family: Bacterial small subunit ribosomal RNA
Source: RNAcentral
UACGUAGGGGGCGAGCGUUGUCCGGAUUUAUUGGGCGUAAAGAGCUCGUAGGCGGUUUGGUAAGUCGGGUGUGAAAUCUCCACGCUCAACGUGGAGGGGCCACUCGAUACUGCCAUGACUCGAGUCCGGUAGAGGAGUGUGGAAUUCCCGGUGUAGCGGUGAAAUGCGCAGAGUAUCGGGAGGAACACCCGUAGCGAAGGCGGCACUCUGGGCCGGAACUGACGCUGAGGCGCGACAGCGUGGGGAGCAACAGG